RNA transcript from Vespa velutina, 874 nucleotides. RefSeq lists it as uncharacterized. The record is from RefSeq and is a predicted model, not a curated record. The transcript has 3 exons. NCBI's taxonomy places the organism in Eukaryota, Metazoa, Arthropoda, Insecta, Hymenoptera, Vespidae.
CCGACUCACGAAGAUUCCGUAUUGUCAUGGAGCGUCGCGAGCGUCGCGAGAGCGUCUUCGCCAUGACGAAAUUCCGCGAAAUAGAAUCUAUUUUUCUCGAAUCAAAAGUAUCCUAUAUUUCUUCCUCUUUCUUCUCCAUUGUCUGUCAUUCUUCGUUUAUUAGAGUUUAACAUUAUCCUUUGUGUCUUUUUUCUCCAAUAUGUGUAUAGAAAAUUGCGAAGGAAAAUGUCGGAUCAUCAGUCUUUUCGAAUUCUUUUUUUUUUCUUGUUUCAAUAAAGACGACUAUCCUUAGCAUCAAUUCUUAAUUCAAAUUAAUAUAAUACACAUAUAGGUAUAUACAUAUACAGGUAUACAUAUUAGGUGUUUCGAUUUCUUCGAAAAUGAUUGAAGAUAUUCGUGUCAGCGUUGCGUGCCUUUGAUCGUUCUCUCCGAUGGUCUAUCUACGGAUUUGGAACAUCAAACUUAUGCUGCUUAUGAACGAUCAAACGAUUUUUGGUGUUAUCAGUGCAAUAAUUCCAUUGAGGGAGAAUCCUGUUUCAAUGUUUCCAGUAAUGCCAGUUCCAUAAUUAAAAAGUGUUCGGAAUAUGAAAGAAUUUGCAUGGUGAUACAAUAUCCUUACUAUCCUAAAAUAUUCUCGGUGGAAAGAAUGUGCACGAGUACAUGUAAUUCGGGUUGCUACGAAAUUGGUGAAGUAACGAAAGCUUACGCUUGCAUUACCUGUUGUGAUAAAUCUUUGUGCAAUACCGGAACUGGAACUGCCAACGAUCUUACGAUGAAAGAAAUCAACUUCGUUUUUGCUCUUAUACUUCAAAUCAUUUUAACAAUGUAUUCGCCUUGAUUCGAUAAAAUAUUAAAAAAUAUUAAGUUUCAUGCA